UACGUAGGUGGCAAGCGUUGUCCGGAUUUACUGGGUGUAAAGGGCGAGUAGGCGGGUCUGCAAGUCAGAUGUGAAAUUUCGGGGCUUAACCCCGAAACUGCAUUUGAAACUGUGGAUCUUGAGUGAUGGAGAGGCAGGCGGAAUUCCCGGUGUAGCGGUGAAAUGCAUAGAGAUCGGGAGGAACACCAGUGGCGAAGGCGGCCUGCUGGACAUUAACUGACGCUGAGGCGCGAAAGUGUGGGGAGCAAACAGGAUUAGAUACCCUGGUA
RNAcentral lists this ribosomal RNA (269 nucleotides) under uncultured prokaryote. RNAcentral describes it as "partial 16S ribosomal RNA". It matches the Rfam family "Bacterial small subunit ribosomal RNA", at positions 524 to 792 of the family's 1533-position model. The record is from RNAcentral.